Molecule: long non-coding RNA, 3534 nt
Organism: Homo sapiens (human)
Lineage: Eukaryota; Metazoa; Chordata; Mammalia; Primates; Hominidae
Product: long intergenic non-protein coding RNA 1547
Source: Ensembl
GGCUCGGGCGGGCGCAGGGUCGCGGGUGUAGGGUGGCGGCGCUCCGCCUUUCACCGACGCACCUGGGAGAAACAGACCGGAGGACGCGGGUGGCGCGGAGCACGAGAAACAACGAGUUUCUGUCUAGAUCGUGGGGGACCCAAGCCCGGGGUUGCGUCCAAGGUCGGGGAUGGAGAGGACGCGACCCCCGCGGCAGUCGAGAUGGCCUUUUUAAAAUUCUAUAUUUGAGAAGGAGUCUCGCGCUGUCGCCCAGGCUGGAGCGCAAUGGCGCGAAAUCGGCUCAUUGCAGCCUCGACGUCCAGGACUCGAGCGAUCCUCCCGCCUCAGCCUCUCGAGAAGGUGGGACCACCGGUGGGCACCGCCACGCCCGGCUAAUUUUUAUUAAUGUUUUGCUAGAGCCGGGAUCUUGCUGUGUUGUCUGGCUGGUCUUAAACUCCUGGGCUCCAGCGAUCCUCCCUCCUCGGCCUCCCAAAGCGCUGGGAUUACAGGCAUGAGCCACACUGCGCCUGGCCAAGCUAGUGCAUUUUAAUUGACCUUCACUUCAUGUCAAUUUAUUUUUUACACUAUUCCAUUUAGUCCUCAGAACAGUUCUUUAGAAUUGGGUAUUGCUCCGUUUACGUGGGAAACAUAGCAGCGAGGUAACGGGCUGGGUCCCGUGCUGGGAACGGGAGCCCUGCUCAUCUGACUGCUUGCACCCUGUGCUGUCUAUGCUGGGCGUACUGGGGGGCGUUAGGGAAGAGACCACAGGUACGAUGCAAUGCCUGUCCUCAAGGAGCCCAUUGUUCUCAUGGGAACACAAAGCUGACACAUCGAGAACAAACUAUGGAACAGGCUGUGGCUGAGGGCCAUGAAGGAAGGCUGCCAAGUCCGGGCCCAGCCAGGUAGCAGCCACACCUCUAUCUACCCUGCUCCCCAACACUGGGCACCAGCACUCACCUGCCCAGGACCCACAGUGAAAACCCACCCACAAAAAAUGCACUUUGGAGAAGAGUAGCAGGUCCCAGGCAGAGCCAGGGCCACCUCUCAGAAAGGACAUCAAGUUUCUCGCCCAGCUGAGAGAUGGACAGAUGACCGCACAAGCCACUCACAGCCCAAGGUGAUGGACUCUAGGAUAUAUUCAAGGCUGAGCAACUGGCUUGAAGUCGUGUCUACUUACAUAUUCAAAGACCUAGUGAGCAUUCACAAGUCAUUCUUUUUACCCUCCAACUAGCCGUGUUCUCAACCAGUCUACCUAGGAAUGCUGUUGGCUGUGAAAACUCCAGAGGCUGGUAUCUUUAGAGUUCCUUCAGGGUGCAUUCAGCAUCUGAGCCUAGCGACUCUUGAGGUGAAAGUGCUCACGUUUUUUUUUUGGUGAGAGAGUCUCACUCUGUCGCCCAGGCUGGAGUGCAGUGGCGCAGUCUCAAAGUGCUCAUCUUUAUGUACUUUGGAUGCCGGUGAAUGCCUAUUGUUUCAGCCAGCUGGAUCACUUUACCUGUUAACCAUUCCAAUGAGUGGCCAGAAGGCUCCUCUCCAGGCCUCACAGAGGGAAACACUGGUCUAGUGAGAGACCUGCGUCCUGCCCAUCAGGACCGAAGCGGCACGCGUGAGGAUCCUGCAGGCCAAGAGACAACAGCGAUUACAAACCCCAGUCCCAGCCUUGCAGCUGACCUUGCAGGUGACGCCCUGCCUGGGUGUCUCGGUGCAGCUGCACAUCAGGGGCCUCUGCUGGACAGAAGCUCUGAGUCCACACUUGGCCCCCAGGCGCUGGAGCUGGAGCACUGCCACGAGAGGGGAUGCUGCCGUGGCUGCGCCAGCUUCAGCCCUUUCCCUGCACCGAGAUGUCCCAGUGAGCGGCUGGGUGCUCACAGUUCCCGUUGGGCCAUCAGAGGAAGAUCAAAGAUCAACCCUCCCCCAUGGGCUCCUGCCUGCCUGCCAGGUGGGUUUCCUGCCUGUCUCCCAGCCCCCAAGAGCUCCACGGACUCUGCCAGUAGCUGCUUUAAAGGAGGGAGGGAGUUUUCUGAUCCUCUGGACAUCCCUGGGGCUGGAGCUAUGGGCUGAGCCAUAGGAGAGCCAGCCCAGCUCCCUGGGGGUUGGGGGCUGUGUCUCUCCAUCCCUUAGUAAAAAUACAGCAACUCCCAACUCAAAGUCAAGGGUCAAUAGUCACAAAACCUUGGUGCAGCCUGGAACAGGCAUAGAGGUCUCAGCAGAGCUGCCCAAGGACAAGACCUAAGAUCCAGCAGGGAACUAUGUAGUCACCCCGAGAGGCCCAGCUCUCUCCGUGAGCUCUGGGCCUAGGGUGGGGGUGGUUGUUGGUUCUGCGCGCACUGUUCCCCCUACAUGAUGGGUCCAUCCCAGUUGGCUUCUCUCACUCGCUUCCUCCUGUGGAGAAGCCUGUCCAGGUGUCACUGCCUCCAGGAAGCUGUCUCUGAUUUCUCCAGUUGAACAGUGAGAUUUGCCACACCUCACAUGCAUCGCUCUUGUCCCUGGAAUUGUAACCAUAGGUUUUCCUGUCUCCUGGAGGACAAGGAUGAGGGCUUUCCACUUGAGUCUCCCUGGUGGAGCCCAGCUCCUGACAUACCUGGUAAAAGUUCUCAAGAGAAGAACAUGGAGGAGGAAUGUGGAUAACAACCCUGGCUGCCUGUGUGUUCCAAGCUAGGAAGAUGUAAUGUCCCCACAAACGGGGUAAAUGGCUUGCCUGCGUCACAGCUGUCUCAAGCCCAGGCCCUGGGUGCCAGCCCAAGCCCAAGGACUAGGUCCAGAGCCACACAGCGCCAGGCCACAUCCGCCUCACCUGGGACCUUUUGUGGGGUACAGUCUCCGGCCCCACCCAGACCUGCUGAAGGAGAGACCCCAUGGCAAGGACUCAGCCACCUGCAGUUUCAUAAGCCCCCAGUGGGUUCCUAGGCAUGAAGACCACCGGUUAGAGGCUGAACUGGCAGGAACCUGUCUCCAGCCCCUUCUCACCCCAGCCGGGCCCUGCCUCAGAGGCAGCACCCAGGACGUGGCCAUGACCCGUGGACUCCACUCAAUCCCUCUUCUCCAGGAGCCAUGCAAAGUGUCAGCCAGCCAGGCCCCUGGAAGGCAGUCAUCACCUCUUAAGGCAUUGCGGGUGUCGGUCCUGCAACUGCCAGGUGCAGCACACGACCCAUGUCCGGUGUUCGAUAGCAGGGAGCCAUGACCUGGCAACGAUUCCACGCUCAAAGGGGCACCCGGGGGGCCCUGGGUCGGGGCGGAUCAGCUUUCCCUGGGCACAUCUGCCUCAUUCCAGAUCUCCAGGGCUCAUGUCUGUGACAGGGAGGGAAGGCUCUGCCCUGGCCUUCCGUCAGCUCUGCCAGUGCAGGCUGGGCAGCCUGGGCUUUAGAGCUGGCUUCUGCCCACACUUUCUCCGUGAAAGGAAAACAACUAUGAGUCUGCCAAACGCAUCUCAGAUGCGUUUUAAAAAAUUCUGGUCCCCGCUCUCUGUCCCAUCAUCUGCCUCGGGGACUUCCUCUCUCCGUGGUUCUCACCCCAUACUCUGUCACUGCCACAUUUUCACCUGGGCCUGGCCUUUGUCUC